CUACGGGCCGCACCAGUGGGGAAUAUUGCACAAUGGAGGAAACUCUGAUGCAGCAACGCCGCGUGGAGGAUGACACUUUUCGGAGCGUAAACUCCUUUUAUAUAGGAAGAAGAUGACGGUACUAUAUGAAUAAGCGCCGGCUAACUCCGUGCCAGCAGCCGCGGUAAUACGGAGGGCGCAAGCGUUACUCGGAAUCACUGGGUGUAAAGAGCGUGUGGGCGGAUUAAAAAGUUAGAAGUGAAAUCCUAUAGCUUAACUAUAGAACUGCUUCUGAAACUCUUAAUCUAGAAUAUGGGAGAGGUAGAUGGAAUUUCUGGUGUAGGGGUAAAAUCCGUAGAGAUCAGAAGGAAUACCGAUUGCGAAGGCGAUCUACUAGAACAUUAUUGACGCUGAGACGCGAAAGCGUGGGGAGCAAACAGGAUUAGAUACCCCCGUAGUC
Molecule: ribosomal RNA, 439 nt
Filed under: uncultured bacterium
Lineage: Bacteria
Description: partial 16S ribosomal RNA
Rfam family: Bacterial small subunit ribosomal RNA
Source: RNAcentral